GCAAUUCUUUCCAUUUCUAUUCCCUUCAGAUUUCUUUUCCAUGGACUGAAUUUUUCUAUAUAUGUGUCCUUUUUGUCGCCGGCCACCACCAAGGACCAGUUUUAUGGGUAGUGAAUUAAACCCUCUACGUUGCAUAGCAUAUAGCACAAAGGCAAUUCCUCCCAUUUCUAUUCCCUUCUGAUUUCUUUUCCGUGGACUGAAUUUUUCUAUAUAUGUGUGCUUUUUGUCGCCAGUCAGCACCAAGGACCAGUUUUAUGGGUAGUGAGUUCAACCCUCUACGUUGCAUAGCAUAUAGCGCAAAGGCAAUUCCUCCCAUUCCUAUUCCCUUCUGAUUUCUUUUCCGUGCAGUGGACUUUUCUAUAUAUAUGUGUCCUUUUUGUCGCCGGCCACCACCAAGGACCAGUUUUAUGGGUAGUGAGUUCAACCCUCUACGUUGCAUAGCAUAUAGUACAAAGGCAAUACCUCCCAUUCCUAUUCCCUUCAGAUUUCUUUUCCAUGGACUGAAUUUUUCUAUAUAUGUGUCCUUUUUGUCGCCGGCCACCACCAAGGACCAGUUUUAUGGGUGGUGAAUUAAACCCUCUACGUUGCAUAGCAUAUAGUACAAAGGCAAUUCCUCCCAUUCCUAUUCCCUUCUGAUUUCUUUUCCGUGGACUGAAUUUUUCUAUAUAUGUGUGCUUUUUGUCGCCAGUCACCACCAAGGACCAGUUUUAUGGGUGUGAGUUCAACCCUCUACGUUGCACAGCAUAUGGUACAAAGGCAAUUCCUCCCAUUCCUAUUCCCUUCUGAUUUUUUUUCCAUGGACUGAAUUUUUCUAUAUAUGUGUGCUUUUUGUCGCCAGUCAGCAAACAUGAGUAGCCUGUUUUCAUUGGCUUCGUCCUUGGUGUCAGUUUCUAUCGUGCUGAAUGCGUAACGAUAGUUUUUUGAGUGCGUGUACAUCUGCGGCCUCACUAUAUACCGCUCCACACCAUCGCUUCGCUCUAAUCGCCGUCUCCCCCGCUGCAAUUAGUUGAUUUUUCCCUCUAAAUCUCCGUAUUAUGUAAUUUUAUACCACCUUACCUAACCUCUACACCUCUUGUAAUCAGCCAGCCUUUUUACACAAAUAUCCAUUGCUCGCAUCCUGGCGGCAACACAGGGACCAUAUUCUCAAUCGUUUCGCCGCUUACACCCUCACAAAAAGGAGGCAAUGUGAGACUGUAUAAGGAAGGAAUGAAAGAAAAUGUGAAGGUUAAGAGGAUAAAAGAAAGGGAAAAGUGGAUGAUGACAGGCUACGUAAAGGGAAGGAAAAUAUGGUUAAUAUAAUAGAGAUGAUAGUCUCCCAUUUGACAGGGUUUUUGAAGGGGUAUUCGGCAUUUCCAGAGGUACUUUUAUGACCCUGGGGAUAGUUUGACCCCUCUUCUGUACCAUAAUCUUGAUAGACACACAUGAAAACCAGAUUAACCUCCAUUUUCGCCUUUGAAAAUAGAUGAAAAUAGAUGUGGAAGCGUCCGAGAAUAUGAACCAGCUCUCCUCUAUUCUCAGCUGCCUCCUUGCCGGCUGUGCCUCGUCUUAUCUUCCGACAUAUUAAACAUUAUCUUCUUCCCGGUAGUUGCGGGUAUCAUGUUUCUUAAAGGCCCAUCUAACCGAAUUAAUGAGAAAAAAUCAUUACUCACGCAAACCAUUUCAUAAUAUAUAUCAACGCAUUUGUGAUUAGUUUAUGCAUCAUCUAUUUUGGGGGUUUAUAUCAGGGUAAAAAUCUGGCCCGUCGCUGGUACACGGUAAAGCCACAAAUUUGGCCCGUCGCUGCUACCGGGUUUUAACAUUCAUCUUAGAGAUAACAUUCAGAGUCUGUAUAGGUUUUCCUCCCAAUGGCUCAGUAAUACCAUGUUAUCCAAGAAUUUAGAGUUAAGGGUAUUCCCCAUCUGCAUAUUCUACUUCCUUAGAUGGCCCACUCUGAUCUCUUUUGAGGAAGCCAAAGAUGAUUCUCAAGAAAUUGUAUCGCGUCUCCAAGCGCUAUUUAUUAUCUGAUUCUUUUUUCGCUUAGUUGUAAUGGUUAAGGAGAUUGUCCGGGGUAGUGUGAAGAUCAGGGGAUUUUCGUGAAUCUGAAGUAUGUUUUGGAUGGCUGUGCUGUGAUGCGCACCGCCAAGCUGAAAAGCACUUGAACAAAAGAUGUGAAAAAAUACUCAUUUAAAAAAAUCAACACUAGGGAGUUAUCGAUUGACUAAUACUAAUGCAAAAAAAAGCUUCACCUUACAUGUUGCCUGAAAUAAGGUGUUGAUCAGUGUUUAGAAAUUCCCUUUUGUCUGUGGGGAAAUAUUUUUGUUUCCUACUGAGGUAGUCCGGAAGAUAUUUGUUACAUAUGUGAUUCAUUACCCUGAAGAAGAAAAUCUAAUUGAUACUGGUAAUGGUAGUAGUAGUAGUAGUAGUAGUAGUAGUAGUAAUGGUAGUAGUAGUAGUAGUAGUAGUAGUAGUAGUAGUAGUAGUAGUAGUAGUAGUAGUAGUAGUAGUAGUAGUAGUAGUAGUAGUAGUAAUGGUAGUAGUAGUAGUAGUAGUAGUAGUAGUAGUAGUAGUAGUAGUAGAAAUUGUAUUAGUAAUUGUAGUAAUAUCAGAAGUCAAUCAAUUUUAUUUUGUAAUACGUAUAUAAAUAUAUUACAUAUUCUUUACAUAUUGUGCAUUGUAGUAGUAGUAGUAGUAGUAGUAGUAGUAGUAGUAGUAGUAAUAGUAGUCAUUGUAUCAAUUUUAUUUUGUAAUAUGUACAUAAUUAUAUAUUGUGUAAGAAUGAUAAAAAUGUUACUCAUAUCACAAUCUUGAUGAAAUAGCAUAAUAGCAAUGAUGACAAAUUGGCAAACACUAUAAUGAACUACAUUAACACAUAUUUGGAGACUAAAAGUGUAAAACAUCAAACGUAAAACUAAGAUACAUUAUACUGCAAAUAAAGCUGAUCAGAUA
This is a long non-coding RNA of Eriocheir sinensis (Chinese mitten crab), 2925 nucleotides long. RefSeq lists it as uncharacterized. The record is from RefSeq and is a predicted model, not a curated record. The transcript has 2 exons. Lineage: Eukaryota; Metazoa; Arthropoda; Malacostraca; Decapoda; Varunidae.